This 429-nucleotide ribosomal RNA is filed under the name uncultured bacterium. RNAcentral describes it as "bacterial SSU rRNA". It matches the Rfam family "Bacterial small subunit ribosomal RNA", at positions 355 to 776 of the family's 1533-position model. The record is from RNAcentral. RNAcentral also lists the same sequence under 1 other name.
UGGGGAAUUUUGGACAAUGGGCGAAAGCCUGAUCCAGCCAUGCCGCGUGAGUGAAGAAGGCCUUCGGGUUGUAAAGCUCUUUCGGCUGGGACGAAAAGGUCCGUGCUAACACCACGGAUCCAUGACGGUACCAGCAGAAGAAGCACCGGCUAACUACGUGCCAGCAGCCGCGGUAAUACGUAGGGUGCAGGCGUUAAUCGGAAUUACUGGGCGUAAAGCGUGCGCAGGCGGUUUGCUAAGACAGGUGUGAAAUCCCCGGGCUUAACCUGGGAACUGCGCUUGUAACUGGCAAGCUGGAGUGUGGCAGAGGGGGGUGGAAUUCCACGUGUAGCAGUGAAAUGCGUAGAGAUGUGGAGGAACACCGAUGGCGAAGGCAGCCCCCUGGGCUAACACUGACGCUCAUGCACGAAAGCGUGGGGAGCAAACAGG